CAGGGUUUAGGUGGGCAUCAGAGCCAGGGUUUAGUAUUGGAACCAGGAUUAGGGGGGGGAUCAGAACCAGAGUUAGGAUCAGAACCAGGUUUAGUACCAGAACCAGGGUUAGGUGGGCAUCAGAACCAGGUUUAGGUAGGGAUCUGAGCCUGGCUUAGUAUCAGAACCAGGUUUAGGGGGGAAUCAGAGAUCAGAGCCUGGUUUAGGUAGGGAUCAGAACCAGGUUUAGGGGGGGAUCAGAACCAGGUUUAGGGGGGAUCAGAGCCAGGUUUAGUCUCAGAGCCAGGUUUAGGUGGGGAUCAGAGCCAGGUUUAGCCUCAGAGCCAGGUUUAGUCUCAGAGCCAGGUUUAGGUGGGGAUCAGAGCCAGGUUUAGUCUCAGAGCCAGGUUUAGUCUCAGAGCCAGGUUUAGUCUCAGAGCCAGGUUUAGGGGGGGAUCAGAGCCAGGUUUAGUCUCAGAGCCAGGUUUAGGU
Long non-coding RNA from Vidua macroura (Pin-tailed whydah), 471 nucleotides. RefSeq lists it as uncharacterized. NCBI's taxonomy places the organism in Eukaryota, Metazoa, Chordata, Aves, Passeriformes, Viduidae. The transcript has 4 exons. The record is from RefSeq and is a predicted model, not a curated record.